Gallus gallus (chicken) is the source of this 2885-nucleotide long non-coding RNA. RefSeq lists it as uncharacterized. Lineage: Eukaryota; Metazoa; Chordata; Aves; Galliformes; Phasianidae. The record is from RefSeq and is a predicted model, not a curated record. The transcript is spliced from 2 exons.
GCUGAAGCACAAUGCACAAGAUGAUAGAGCAGGCAAGAAGUUACAUCCCUUAGCCAACAGGCUGUGGGGGAGGGUUAAAAAUUAUUUUCUGGAACAUCAUCUGAGUGUAGACCGGUGUUGACAGGACCAGCAACACAGCACCAAGAUAUCUUGGGGCUUUGCACUUCAGCAGCUGAGCUCUGGGGAAUACUUCAUAGCUGCCUCCAAAAUAGAAUAGCAAAGUAGUGUAGUCUGGGGAAGAGCAUCUUUGAUCUUAAGUUAUUAAUUGCAAGCUAUUGAAACUACUGGAUCUAGACUUUUCCUCAUUAGUGCCUUGGUCUUGCAUCUGUGAAACAGGAAUAUUACUGUUUCCCUACCUAAGAGUAUGAUGAGGAUAAAAGUCUGUGAAUUCUUAUCCAUUACUGGGAGACCUGAAGAUACAAAUGAGGCAGUACAGCACCAAAAAAUAGCCACAACAGAAUCCAUCACCAGGCACUUUUGUCAUUGCAUAGAGGAAUGAAAUACUCAAGUGGUGGCAAAUUAAAGUUCCUGACAAUUUCUUCCUACUGUAGCUUUAUUCCAUUAAAAACAAACAGCCAUUCAGAACAUAUCACUAUUGUGCAAGGUUACUGAUCACAGACUAUGCAUUGACAUCAUUACUUUAGCUUUGUCCACUGCUUGGAGAUUGCCAUUGGCAUUGGUGCUGAUUAGCAUGCUGGAAUCAAAACCCCAUUGGCCAUGAGGUUUACGCACAUGGAAGGCAAGAGCACACAGACACAAAGUAGAUUGGCAGCACCCAGGGACAGGAGCCCAGUGCAGCUCCUAAGUAAAUCAUGUUUUAUUGGACAUUAUACUUCUUGACCAUGGUCCAAAAGAAAAGAUCAGUCUUGUUUUUAGAAGUUGGGACUGAAAGGGGAACUGGUAGAUGAAGUAUGUGGGCAAAACUGCAUGCACCUUUCAAAUUCCUAAUUUCUCCUCCCUCUGUUUAGAUUUUCUAAGGAUUAUCCUGUUUCAUUGCACACAGGUCAAAGGUUUUCUUUUUUAUUUAUUUAGAGUUUUUCUAUUUCCUGAAUAUGUGUAUCUAUUAAAAGGUUUGGGAAGCUGUGUUUUGUACUUGAUGGAAUCUCACCUUGCUUUUCCUUUCUUAUGGCAAAACCAAAACCACAGCUAGUUUUGGAUUUGAACUCACUAGGAAACACAGAAAGACCUCAGAUUUUCUCUAUCUAUUUACAGGGGAGCAAUCACCAUGGCAUAGCACCAUUUCAGAUAGAACCUCCCCUUUGUACAUUCAGAAAAGACAGGGCAAGAGGAGGCAAAAAGGGGAGGUAUAGAUAAACUGAAGCUUGAGCUGAGUGCACUCAGGAAGCCAAGUAGAGCAUUAGAAAACAAUACAGCAAGGAGAAAGGUUGGCUCUUGCUGAAUACACCUGGACAGAUUCACACAAAUCAUCAAUUUUUGGAAGUUACAGCACAGAGCUCAGGUCAGGAGGCUGUCAGUGGGUGUAUAGGUCUCAUGCUGAACUAGAACAUCCAUGGACCGUUCCUAUAGCACCGGUUCAGCUCCUUUAUGCAGAGACAAAGAAGCAUCUACAGAGGGCAAAUGCUCAGAUCAUUAUCACCUUUUUACAUCAUUUUCUCACUGUUUUUACCUUUCCUGUUGUAUCUUGAAGACUUACUAGUUGCAAGCACUUUCUCUGACUUCUUAAAGAAUGUCACAGCAGAUUGUGAUGUGUCAACACAAGUACAGGUGUCCAAAACAGCAAUAGUGAAAUGGAAUUGUGGAAAAUAGUAUCAUGAAAGGAACAUCUCCAAAGGCUGAAGAGUUAUACCCUGGUUGGCUCUAUUAGAUAAUUGGCUGUGAAUUCUGAAUCUUGGCCUCUCGUUUGAAGACAUGUCAUUUAAUGGACAGCUAAAACAUAAAUAAUCAGCCAUUAAUGUUAAAAAUAUCAUUUAGAAUCUGCUACAACAAGAUCAGAUGAAUCAAAACCUCUCCAGCCCUAGAAAUAUCUGCACAUGCCUAUAAAACAUGGACACAAAAGAAAGGAACUUCACUUUUCCAGGAUCAGUAGGAAAGUUCAGUCCUGUAAGAGGACAGGAGGUCUCUUGCAGGAAAAAGGGAAGAAAAAAGUCAAAUUUCACAUUUUGUAAAAGAACAGAUAGAGGAAACCCCAUGAUUUCAAGGACUAGAUUCAAGGAAAGGGCCUAGUGGGACAGAGAAGAAACUAACCCAGAAAGGACUGAAUGGGAUGGAGUGGAGACUAAAACUGACGAGCUGUUUCAAAAAUCUGCAAGGCAAUGGAGUCCAACCCAGAAAAGGAAUCUAUACCAGAAAUAAACCCAUUUACUUCACUCCCAGGACCACAGCAAGCUGCUUUCCUACUGUGUUUCUGGCUGAGAAGCUUGGCUGACAGCUCUGCAGACAGCAGUGUUCCAGCGUCAUUCAUGGACAGAGCGUCAAGCACCAGAAGAGCACUACUUAUGCACAGCCCAGUGGUAUCUACCACUACCUCACAUGGGAGCUGGGAGCUUUACAGCAUGUAUGCUACAGUACCACUGGAGAAUGGCAAAAGCCAGAGAUAAAAAAACAGAGUGGAAGCACACAUCUACUGCUCAUUAAGUGACUUCAGGUGAUACCAGUGGGUUUUGUGCAUGUGUCUACAUGGGUUUUUUUCCUCAGCUCUAGCAGAGAAUAUUUUAUUUGCUUACUGAAGUUUUCACAUGCUAUAUGUUGUUGCUGUUUUGUUUUGUUUCUUAAAUCUCUCACCUAUAUAUUUAUUAUAGACGGAUAUUAUACCCUCACAGUAUAGAAACACUGCAAAGUGCUAGUUAAGUUCUCAGAGCUGACUGAAUAAUACCAUAAAUACAAGGGUACUGAAAUGACAACAAUAAAGAGAGCUGUACUUUGAG